Molecule: ribosomal RNA, 429 nt
Filed under: Acidobacteriota bacterium
Lineage: Bacteria; Pseudomonadati; Acidobacteriota
Description: Acidobacteria bacterium partial 16S ribosomal RNA
Rfam family: Bacterial small subunit ribosomal RNA
Source: RNAcentral
UGGGGAAUUUUGGACAAUGGGGGAAACCCUGAUCCAGCCAUCCCGCGUGUGCGAUGAAGGCCUUCGGGUUGUAAAGCACUUUUGGCAGGAAAGAAACGUCAUGGGUUAAUACCCCGUGAAACUGACGGUACCUGCAGAAUAAGCACCGGCUAACUACGUGCCAGCAGCCGCGGUAAUACGUAGGGUGCAAGCGUUAAUCGGAAUUACUGGGCGUAAAGCGUGCGCAGGCGGUUCGGAAAGAAAGAUGUGAAAUCCCAGAGCUCAACUUUGGAACUGCAUUUUUAACUACCGGGCUAGAGUGUGUCAGAGGGAGGUGGAAUUCCGCGUGUAGCAGUGAAAUGCGUAGAUAUGCGGAGGAACACCGAUGGCGAAGGCAGCCUCCUGGGAUAACUAUGACGCUCAUGCACGAAAGCGUGGGGAGCAAACAGG